This 528-nucleotide ribosomal RNA is filed under the name uncultured bacterium. RNAcentral's name for it is "bacterial SSU rRNA". It matches the Rfam family "Bacterial small subunit ribosomal RNA", at positions 62 to 507 of the family's 1533-position model. The record is from RNAcentral.
UACAACGGGUAGUGAAUGGAGAAUAGAGGGUAGAACUUAGCUCUCAUCAAAGAAGAAGGAAAAGAAACACAAAAGCGGGGCAAGGUAGCCCGGUCCACUAAUUUCUAUUCCCUAUUCUCUAUUUACUAUCAGUGGCGGACGGGUGAGUAACACGUGAGCAACUUGCCUACCUGAGGGGAAUAACACAGAGAAAUUUGUGCUAAUACCUCAUAAUGUAUCGUGACGGCAUCGUCGUGAUACCAAAGAUUUAUCGCAGGUAGAUAGGCUCGCGUCCGAUUAGGCAGUUGGUGAGGUAACGGCUCACCAAACCAACGAUCGGUAGCCGGACUGAGAGGUUGAACGGCCACAUUGGAACUGAGAAACGGUCCAGACUCCUACGGGAGGCAGCAGUGGGGAAUAUUGGGCAAUGGGCGAAAGCCUGACCCAGCGACGCCGCGUGAGGGAAGAAGGUCUUCGGAUUGUAAACCUUUGUUGAAGGGGAAGAAGAAAGUGACGGUACUGUACGAAUAAGUCCCGGCUAACUACGUG